GCCGGAGUGUGAGCAUCAAGGACGUAUCCCCCACCAAUAAUUCAGCCACUACGAAUUUAAUAGUUCUUUACCCCACUGAAUACAUUUAAUGCAAGUGAAGCGGCUUUCUCACGCAAACAGUUGGUUCACGAUGGCGGUUCGAUUCUGCGAUGUUAUUUUAAUCGGCUUGGUUUUUGUAGCAUAUUCACCACAAACUGGAAAAACUAACGUUUCAGAGAUAGCGCUGAGCAGGCCUGACUUCAAAAUUCAAAACUUACACAAUUAUGUUUGGGAUAUACUUUGCCAUCCUCUGGUGACUAUCUUCAUCCGAUCAGGGGAGAUGACUUCGAAAAGAUCAUCAAAUUUGCCCAAAUCGUGCCUAAAGUGAAAAUUUACUCCUGCGAGUGCUGCCCCGAGGGAAAGGCCAGAAUAAGGGAUUGCGGUCUUUGCGUGGAGCAAUAAAACUGCAUGGGUCUUAUUUAACAAGGUCGGAGAAAAUAUUUACAAAUGUUUUAAAAUACUUUUAUAAACGUUACCAAAACAUAUACAUCUAUAAAGUGUUUUCUUUUUUAAAGGAAUGCAGCAUUUAGUUGGAGGAAAUGAAAUAGUUAACACAGAUGAAAUUCAAAGUCAUAUUUAACUAAAUAUUUAACUAAAUCAUGUUCACAUGACAUUCGGCACUGGAUGUUACAGGAGAUCCGAAGACAUGUUUUCUGCAGGUGAAAGUUAGCAUAGACAUGGCUAUUAGCAAAAGAAAAAAACUAUAUAUGCUGUAACUCGAUUUAAAAUAGAUGUAACAAGCAUGAUUUUAAAAAAUCCCGUAUAUGAAUUAAUUAUUGUAAGAAUGCACAAUUUCAGAAGAGAAAAAUCAGGACAGUGCCUUAAAGUAGGCUUAUUACACAUCUGCGUGAUUAAGAAUUCUUGAUAUGAUCGACAAUCAAUUAUUGACUUCAGUUCACAAAAUGAAAGUAUUCUUUUGAGGUUACAUUGAGUCAGUGCCAUCUCUGGUAAAAAUAAACAAAGCCAUAAAUUGUGGCUACAUAAAGAAAGCAAA
RNAcentral lists this unclassified non-coding RNA (1033 nucleotides) under Lingula anatina. Its description in RNAcentral is "uncharacterized LOC106168910, transcript variant X1". Lineage: Eukaryota; Metazoa; Brachiopoda; Lingulata; Lingulida; Lingulidae. The record is from RNAcentral.